Molecule: ribosomal RNA, 462 nt
Filed under: uncultured bacterium
Lineage: Bacteria
Description: partial 16S ribosomal RNA
Rfam family: Bacterial small subunit ribosomal RNA
Source: RNAcentral
GACGAACGCUGGCGGCGUGCUUAACACAUGCAAGUCGUACGGUAAGGCCCUUUCGGGGGUACACGAGUGGCGAACGGGUGAGUAACACGUGAGUAACCUGCCCACAACUUUGGGAUAACGCUAGGAAACUGGUGCUAAUACUGGAUAUGUGCCCCUGCUGCAUGGUGGGGGUUGGAAAGCUCCGGCGGUUGUGGAUGGACUCGCGGCCUAUCAGCUUGUUGGUGGGGUAGUGGCCUACCAAGGCGGCGACGGGUAGCCGGCCUGAGAGGGUGACCGGCCACAUUGGGACUGAGAUACGGCCCAGACUCCUACGGGAGGCAGCAGUGGGGAAUAUUGCACAAUGGGCGCAAGCCUGAUGCAGCAACGCCGCGUGCGGGAUGACGGCCUUCGGGUUGUAAACCGCUUUCAGCAGGGACGAAGCUUUUUGUGACGGUACCUGCAGAAGAAGCACCGGCUAACUAC